Sinocyclocheilus anshuiensis is the source of this 391-nucleotide long non-coding RNA. RefSeq lists it as uncharacterized. The transcript has 3 exons. Lineage: Eukaryota; Metazoa; Chordata; Actinopteri; Cypriniformes; Cyprinidae. The record is from RefSeq and is a predicted model, not a curated record.
UGUUUAUAUGAAUUAUUUGAUCAGUUUAUCUCUGUCUAUUUAUGUUUGUGUAAACACAGGUUCAUCAGUAUUACAGCUUUUUCCCAGAGGAUAAGGUUCCUUAUGUCAACAGCAUUGGUGAAAAGCAUCGGAUCAAGCAACUCCUUCAACAACUGCCACCGCAUGACAAUGAGGUUCGUUACUGUACCUCACUGGAUGAAGAAGAAAAGCGGGAAUUAAAGAUCUUCAGUAACCAGCGAAAGCGAGACAAUCUAGGCAGAGGCACUGUUCGACCUCUACCCCUCACUGUAACUGGAGCUAUAUGUGAACAGUGUGGAGACCAGAUCAACGGUGGUGACAUUGCAGUGUUUGCCUCACGGGUUGGCCAUGGCCUGUGUUGGCACCCUCACUG